AACAGGAUUAGAUACCCUGGUAGUCCACGCCGUAAACGAUGAGUGCUAAGUGUUGGAGGGUUUCCGCCCUUCAGUGCUGCAGCAAACGCAUUAAGCACUCCGCCUGGGGAGUACGACCGCAAGGUUGAAACUCAAAGGAAUUGACGGGGGCCCGCACAAGCGGUGGAGCAUGUGGUUUAAUUCGAAGCAACGCGAAGAACCUUACCAGGUCUUGACAUCCUUUGACCACUCUAGAGAUAGAGCUUUCCCUUCGGGGACAAAGUGACAGGUGGUGCAUGGUUGUCGUCAGCUCGUGUCGUGAGAUGUUGGGUUAAGUCCCGCAACGAGCGCAACCCUUAUUGUUAGUUGCCAUCAUUUAGUUGGGCACUCUAGCGAGACUGCCGGUGACAAACCGGAGGAAGGUGGGGAUGACGUCAAAUCAUCAUGCCCCUUAUGACCUGGGCUACACACGUGCUACAAUGGGAAGUACAACGAGUCGCUAGACCGCGAGGUCAUGCAAAUCUCUUAAAGCUUCUCCCAGUUCGGAUUGCAGGCUGCAACUCGCCUGCAUGAAGCCGGAAUCGCUAGUAAUCGCGGAUCAGCACGCCGCGGUGAAUACGUUCCCGGGCCUUGUACACACCGCCCGUCACACCACGAGAGUUUGUAACACCCGAAGUCGGUGAGGUAACCUUUUUGGAGCCAGCCGCCUAAGGUGGGAUAGAUGAUUGGGGUGAAGUCGUAACAAGGUAACC
RNAcentral lists this ribosomal RNA (731 nucleotides) under uncultured bacterium. Its description in RNAcentral is "bacterial SSU rRNA". It matches the Rfam family "Bacterial small subunit ribosomal RNA", at positions 771 to 1501 of the family's 1533-position model. The record is from RNAcentral.